GAGUUUGAUCGUGGCUCAGGAUGAACGCUGGCGGCGUGCUUAACACAUGCAAGUCGAACGAAGCAAUAGGAAGGAAGUUUUCGGAUGGAAUUCAUAUUGACUGAGUGGCGGACGGGUGAGUAACGCGUGGGUAACCUGCCUCAUACAGGGGGAUAACAGUUAGAAAUGACUGCUAAUACCGCAUAAGCGCACAGAAUCGCAUGAUAAUGUGUGAAAAACUCCGGUGGUAUGAGAUGGACCCCGCGUCUGAUUAGCUAGUGGUGGGGUAAAGCCGUACCAAGGCGACGAUCAGUAGCCGACCUGAGAGGGUGAUCGGCCACAUUGGGACUGAGACACGGCCCAAACUCCUACGGGAGG
This 357-nucleotide ribosomal RNA is filed under the name uncultured microorganism. RNAcentral's name for it is "bacterial SSU rRNA". It matches the Rfam family "Bacterial small subunit ribosomal RNA", at positions 9 to 348 of the family's 1533-position model. The record is from RNAcentral.